UAAAACAAGUUCGGAGGGAUCCGAAAAGCAUACAUUGUCCCUAUCUACUAUCUAGCGAAACCACAGCCAAGGGAACGGGCUUGGAAUAAUUAGCGGGGAAAGAAGACCCUUUUGAGCUUGACUCUAAUCUGGCAGUGUAAGGAGACAUAAGAGGUGAAGAAUAAGUGGGAGAUAUUAGACCUCGGUUUGCUAUCGUCAAUGAAAUACCACUACUCUUAUUGUUUCCUUACUUACUUGAUUAAAUGGAACGUGUAUCAUUUCCUAGCUAUUAUACGGAUAUAUUUAUUAUAUCUUAUGGUAUUGGGUUUUGAUGCAAGCUUCUUGAUCAAAGUAUCACGAGUUUGUUAUAUAAUCGCAAACAAAUUCUUUAAUAAAACGAUGCAUUUAUGUAUUUUUGAUUUGAAAAUUUGGUAUAACUCCAAUUACUCAGGUAUGAUCCAAUUCAAGGACAUUGCCAGGUAGGGAGUUUGACUGGGGCGGUAAGUCUCUCAAAUAAUAACGGAGGUGUCCCAAGGCCAGCUCAGUGCGGACAGAAACCACACAUAGAGCAAACGGGCAAAUGCUGACUUGAUCUCGGUGUUCAGUACACACAGGGACAGCAAAAGCUCGGCCUAUCGAUCCUUUUGGUUUAAAGAGUUUUUAACAAGAGGUGUCAGAAAAGUUACCAUAGGGAUAACUGGCUUGUGGCGGCCAAGCGUUCAUAGCGACGUCGCUUUUUGAUCCUUCGAUGUCGGCUCUUCCUAUCAUUGUGAAGCAAAAUUCACCAAGCGUUGGAAUGUUCACCCAUGCAAGGGAACGUGAGCUGGGUUUAGACCGUCGUGAGACAGGUUAGUUUUACCCUACUAAUGACAAAACGUUGUUGCGACAGCAUUCCUGCGUAGUACGAGAGGAACCGCAGGUACGAACCAAUGGCACAAUACUUGUUCGAGCGAACAGUGGUAUGACGCUACGUCCGUUGGAUUAUGCCUGAACGCCUCUAAGGUCGUCUCCGUGCUGGACUGCAAUGAUAAAUAAGGGGCAAUUUGCAUUGUAUGCCUUCUAAACCAUUUAAAGUUUAUAAUUUACUUUAUAAACGACAAUGGAUGUGAUGCCAAUGUAAUUUGUAACAUAGUAAAUUGGGAGGAUCUUCGAUCACCUGAUGCCGCGCUAGUUACAUAUAAAAGCAUUAUUUAAUACAAUGACAAAGCCUAGAAUCAAUUGUAAACGACUUUUGUAACAGGCAAGGUGUUGUAAGUGGUUGAGCAGCUGCCAUACUGCGAUCCACUGAAGCUUAUCCUUUGCUUGAUGAUUC
Drosophila melanogaster (fruit fly) is the source of this 1291-nucleotide ribosomal RNA. It matches the Rfam family "Eukaryotic large subunit ribosomal RNA", at positions 1891 to 3399 of the family's 3401-position model. The record is from Rfam. NCBI's taxonomy places the organism in Eukaryota, Metazoa, Arthropoda, Insecta, Diptera, Drosophilidae.